RNAcentral lists this transfer RNA (77 nucleotides) under Oscillospiraceae bacterium. RNAcentral describes it as "tRNA-Arg". It matches the Rfam family "tRNA". Rfam says of the family: Transfer RNA (tRNA) molecules are approximately 80 nucleotides in length. The record is from RNAcentral. Lineage: Bacteria; Bacillati; Bacillota; Clostridia; Eubacteriales; Oscillospiraceae.
GCGCCGGUAGCUCAGUAGGAUAGAGCACGUGCCUUCUAAGCUCGGGGUCAGGGGUUCGAAUCCCUUCCGGCGUGCCA